ACGGGGUGCAGCAGGCGCGAAAACUUUGCAAUGUGCGAAAGCACGACAAGGUUAAUCCGAGUGAUUUGUGCUAAACGAAUCUUUUGUUAGUCCUAGAAACACUAACGAAUAAGAGGUGGGCAAGUUCUGGUGUCAGCCGCCGCGGUAAAACCAGCACCUCAAGUGGUCAGGAUGAUUAUUGGGCCUAAAGCAUCCGUAGCCGGCUCUGUAAGUUUUCGGUUAAAUCUGUACGCUCAACGUACAGGCUGCCGGGAAUACUGCAGAGCUAGGGAGUGGGAGAGGUAGACGGUACUCGGGAGGAAGGGGUAAAAUCCUUUGAUCUUUCGAUGACCACCUGUGGCGAAGGCGGUCUACCAGAACACGUCCGACGGUGAGGGAUGAAAGCUGGGGGAGCAAACCGGAUUAGAUACCCGGGUAGUCCCAGCUGUAAACUAUGCAAACUCAGUGAUGCAUUGACUUGUGGUCAAUGCAGUGCUGCAGGGAAGCCGUUAAGUUUGCCGCCUGGAAGUACGUACG
This 516-nucleotide ribosomal RNA is filed under the name uncultured archaeon. RNAcentral's name for it is "bacterial SSU rRNA". It matches the Rfam family "Archaeal small subunit ribosomal RNA", at positions 325 to 843 of the family's 1478-position model. The record is from RNAcentral.